Molecule: long non-coding RNA, 375 nt
Organism: Sphaerodactylus townsendi
Lineage: Eukaryota; Metazoa; Chordata; Lepidosauria; Squamata; Sphaerodactylidae
Exons: 3
Source: RefSeq, a predicted model, not a curated record
UGAAAGUAGAAGACAUCUCCGUUUCUCUCUCACGCACACCACUCAACCCAUAAAAAGUCUGCACCAUGGUAACCCAAAAUCUACAGCAAAGAAACUUGAACGGGGAUGUGGAGAAUUUCACCUCUGUGAAAAUGGAGAUGUGAGAGAAAUCAUUCCAGUCCCGUAUAAGCCUUUCAUUAAACUUUGGGAUCACUCCUCAAGAAGACCUCCCACCAGGCUUAUUACUGAAGAAGUCCAUGUUACUGUUGCUCAUGUUGCUACUUUUUGGGGAGAUAUUUUUUUAAAAAAUUCUUCACACUCACCCAUAUCUAAGGUCAUUUCCCCACUUACCUGCUGCUGCACGCUACUCUCCCCAAGUAGCGCAGGGUCCCCCGG